RNAcentral lists this ribosomal RNA (517 nucleotides) under Salmonella enterica subsp. enterica serovar Senftenberg. Its description in RNAcentral is "bacterial SSU rRNA". It matches the Rfam family "Bacterial small subunit ribosomal RNA", at positions 998 to 1515 of the family's 1533-position model. Lineage: Bacteria; Pseudomonadati; Pseudomonadota; Gammaproteobacteria; Enterobacterales; Enterobacteriaceae. The record is from RNAcentral.
AUCCAGAGAUGGAUUUGUGCCUUCGGGAACCGUGAGACAGGUGCUGCAUGGCUGUCGUCAGCUCGUGUUGUGAAAUGUUGGGUUAAGUCCCGCAACGAGCGCAACCCUUAUCCUUUGUUGCCAGCGAUUAGGUCGGGAACUCAAAGGAGACUGCCAGUGAUAAACUGGAGGAAGGUGGGGAUGACGUCAAGUCAUCAUGGCCCUUACGACCAGGGCUACACACGUGCUACAAUGGCGCAUACAAAGAGAAGCGACCUCGCGAGAGCAAGCGGACCUCAUAAAGUGCGUCGUAGUCCGGAUUGGAGUCUGCAACUCGACUCCAUGAAGUCGGAAUCGCUAGUAAUCGUGGAUCAGAAUGCCACGGUGAAUACGUUCCCGGGCCUUGUACACACCGCCCGUCACACCAUGGGAGUGGGUUGCAAAAGAAGUAGGUAGCUUAACCUUCGGGAGGGCGCUUACCACUUUGUGAUUCAUGACUGGGGUGAAGUCGUAACAAGGUAACCGUAGGGGAACCUGC